GAUGAACGCUGGCGGCGUGCUUAACACAUGCAAGUCGAACGGGAAACCUUUUAUUGAAGCUUCGGCAGAUUUAGCUGGUUUCUAGUGGCGGACGGGUGAGUAACGCGUGGGUAACCUGCCUUAUACAGGGGGAUAACAACCAGAAAUGGUUGCUAAUACCGCAUAAGCGCACAGGACCGCAUGGUCCGGUGUGAAAAACUCCGGUGGUAUAAGAUGGACCCGCGUUGGAUUAGCUAGUUGGCAGGGUAACGGCCUACCAAGGCGACGAUCCAUAGCCGGCCGGGGAGGGUGAACGGCCACAUUGGGACUGAGACACGGCCCAGACUCCUACGGGAGGCAGCAGUGGGGAAUAUUGCACAAUGGGGGAAACCCUGAUGCAGCGACGCCGCGUGAAGGAAGAAGUAUCUCGGUAUGUAAACUUCUAUCAGCAGGGAAGAUAGUGACGGUACCUGACUAAGAAGCCCCGGCUAACUACGUG
RNAcentral lists this ribosomal RNA (478 nucleotides) under uncultured bacterium. RNAcentral describes it as "partial 16S ribosomal RNA". It matches the Rfam family "Bacterial small subunit ribosomal RNA", at positions 28 to 507 of the family's 1533-position model. The record is from RNAcentral.